Molecule: long non-coding RNA, 330 nt
Filed under: Vigna radiata
Lineage: Eukaryota; Viridiplantae; Streptophyta; Magnoliopsida; Fabales; Fabaceae
Description: long non-coding RNA (VRAD_LNC017955)
Source: RNAcentral
CCCCACCUGUUUAGUAGUUUAAUAGUAGAUAAGUAGUAAAUAAGUUUAAGACCUUAACCAUACAUUCUAAUCUUAAUUAGCUGAGUCCUAGGAUUGAUAUUUUGGUUGCCCUAUGCUACAUUAGUGGGGACCAGUUCUUUGUUCUGCCUUAGGCGACUAAAAGGCAGUUUAACAAAUGGCGGCAUUGUCGGGGACUCGGCGAAUUGAGUUUUAGAGUGUUAGGUUAGUCUUGUUUAGGUUUGUUUCUUUUUUCAUAUUUUUUUUAGUUUGCUUAGGGUCUAUUUCUGAAGUUUUAGCUUGUUUAGAUUGCAAAUAGCUUUUAGAUUUUUC